This 68-nucleotide transfer RNA is filed under the name Negha inflata. RNAcentral's name for it is "tRNA-Ser". The record is from RNAcentral. Lineage: Eukaryota; Metazoa; Arthropoda; Insecta; Raphidioptera; Inocelliidae.
AAGAUAUAAAAUUUUUAAAAAAAGCUGCUAACUUUUUUUAUAGUAGUGAAAUUCUAUUAAUAUCUUUA